AUGUCUGAUGGAGCACGCCGCGUGAACGAUGAAGGUCUUCGGAUUGUAAAGUUCUGUUGUUAGGGACGAAUAAGUACCGUUCGAAUAGGGCGGUACCUUGACGGUACCUGACGAGAAAGCCACGGCUAACUACGUGCCAGCAGCCGCGGUAA
RNAcentral lists this ribosomal RNA (152 nucleotides) under uncultured Brevibacillus sp. RNAcentral describes it as "partial 16S ribosomal RNA". It matches the Rfam family "Bacterial small subunit ribosomal RNA", at positions 379 to 523 of the family's 1533-position model. The record is from RNAcentral. Lineage: Bacteria; Bacillati; Bacillota; Bacilli; Caryophanales; Paenibacillaceae.